ACAUCCAGAGAACUUAGCAGAGAUGCUUUGGUGCCUUCGGGAACUCUGAGACAGGUGCUGCAUGGCUGUCGUCAGCUCGUGUUGUGAAAUGUUGGGUUAAGUCCCGCAACGAGCGCAACCCCUAUCCUUUGUUGCCAGCGAUUCGGUCGGGAACUCAAAGGAGACUGCCGGUGAUAAACCGGAGGAAGGUGGGGAUGACGUCAAGUCAUCAUGGCCCCUACGAGUAGGGCUACACACGUGCUACAAUGGCGCAUACAAAGAGAAGCGACCUCGCGAGAGCAAGCGGACCUCAUAAAGUGCGUCGUAGUCCGGAUUGGAGUCUGCAACUCGACUCCAUGAAGUCGGAAUCGCUAGUAAUCGUAGAUCAGAAUGCUACGGUGAAUACGUUCCCGGGCCUUGUACACACCGCCCGUCACACCAUGGGAGUGGGUUGCAAAAGAAGUAGAUAGCUUAACCUUCGGGAGGGCGUUUACCACUUUGUGAUUCGUGACUGGGGUGAAGUCGUAACAAGGUAAGCGUAGCGAG
This 525-nucleotide ribosomal RNA is filed under the name uncultured bacterium. RNAcentral's name for it is "bacterial SSU rRNA". It matches the Rfam family "Bacterial small subunit ribosomal RNA", at positions 984 to 1509 of the family's 1533-position model. The record is from RNAcentral.